GAGUUUGAUCCUGGCUCAGAACGAACGCUGGCGGCAGGCCUAACACAUGCAAGUCGAACGCCCCUUCGGGGGAGUGGCGCACGGGUGAGUAACACGUGGGAACCUACCUUGGAGUACGGAACAACUCAGGGAAACUUGAGCUAAUUCCGUAUACGCCCUACGGGGGAAAGAUUUAUCGCUCUGAGAUGGGCCCGCGCCGGAUUAGCUAGUUGGUGAGGUAAUGGCUCACCAAGGCGACGAUCCGUAGCUGGUCUGAGAGGAUGAUCAGCCACACUGGAACUGAGACACGGUCCAGACUCCUACGGGAGGCAGCAGUGGGGAAUAUUGGACAAUGGGGGAAACCCUGAUCCAGCCAUGCCGCGUGAGUGAAGAAGGCCUUAGGGUUGUAAAGCUCUUUCAGCAGUGAAGAUGAUGACGGUAACUGCAGAAGAAGCCCCGGCUAACUCCGUGCCAGCAGCCGCGGUAAUAAGGGCGA
This 475-nucleotide ribosomal RNA is filed under the name uncultured Hyphomicrobiales bacterium. Its description in RNAcentral is "bacterial SSU rRNA". It matches the Rfam family "Bacterial small subunit ribosomal RNA", at positions 9 to 532 of the family's 1533-position model. Lineage: Bacteria; Pseudomonadati; Pseudomonadota; Alphaproteobacteria; Hyphomicrobiales. The record is from RNAcentral.